GACAGAGGUGCCGAGCGUUAGGCGGAAUCACUGGGCUUAAAGCGUGUGUAGGCGGGUCCGUAAGUACCUUGUGAAAUCCCACGGCUCAACCGUGGAACUGCUUGGUAUACUGCGGGUCUUGAGCCACUUAGGGGCAAGCGGAACAAAACGGUGGAGCGGUGAAAUGCGUAGAUAUCGUUUGGAACGCCAAAUGGUGAAAACAGCUUGCUGGGAGUGUGCUGACGCUGAGACACGAAAGCCAGGGGGAGCAAAACGGGG
Molecule: ribosomal RNA, 258 nt
Filed under: uncultured bacterium
Lineage: Bacteria
Description: partial 16S ribosomal RNA
Rfam family: Bacterial small subunit ribosomal RNA
Source: RNAcentral